RNAcentral lists this unclassified non-coding RNA (249 nucleotides) under Hevea brasiliensis (rubber tree). The record is from RNAcentral. Lineage: Eukaryota; Viridiplantae; Streptophyta; Magnoliopsida; Malpighiales; Euphorbiaceae.
GGUCAACAAGAAUGGUUGGUGAGUGUCCUUUGGCUAUUGUGCUGCUUACAAUCUCUUGCUUCUAUAGUUAUUGCCAGCUUUUGUAUCGCAAACUUGUAGUUGCCUAAAUGAGAGUGAAUCUACAGCUAAAUAUGCCAUAAAGUAAUGUUUCCUUUGAAAGCCACAUUGAUUCUUAGGUUACCGCAAAAGAUUCAUUAGAUUGUUAUCAUUUUUUGGGGUCAAUUUUAAGACAUGUUUAUGAAUCCUGCU